Molecule: small nuclear RNA, 315 nt
Filed under: Prolemur simus (greater bamboo lemur)
Lineage: Eukaryota; Metazoa; Chordata; Mammalia; Primates; Lemuridae
Description: 7SK RNA (ENSPSMG00000017693.1)
Rfam family: 7SK RNA
About the family: 7SK was discovered as an abundant small nuclear RNA in the mid-70s but a possible function has only recently been suggested.
Source: Rfam by way of RNAcentral
UGUGAGGCUGAUCUGCUUUCAAAAUUUCUCUCUCUGUGUUGGCCAGGAUUGAUGCAACUGAGCUGGCUGGGCUGGGCAGGUGACCCCUUCCUUCCUCACCUGAAGCUUUGUGCCUAGUCAAAGCAAGCAGGCUCCUUAUCAUGUAGAGAGGGACCAUCCGCCCAACAUGGGUGUGUGGGAAAGUGUGCUCCCCUACGAGUCCUUCCAAACGAUCCCUCAUGGUCCAAGGGGAAACUUGCAGGGUAUUGGUGAGGGUUCAAUGACAUCAUGGAUAUAAAACACUUUGUAAACUCUAAGGGUUUCUUCCAUUUGGUU